CGGCUGAAUAGAAAAAGGAGUGCGGAGCAGUUUAGUCGGCCCAUUCGAGUGGAUUUCAGGGUCAUGCAAAACCAUUCGUCAGCCACAUUUACAGGACAAUCAUUAACGCACAUUUUGUGGUACAAAACAGAUUUUCUGUUUCGACAGUCUCGUGAGAUCUCGUGGCACGACUUUGAAUGGAUGGAAAUGGAGUCAUGCAUGCCAAAUUUUAUUUCCCUAACUUGUAAAAUGAUGAAACACCACACGAAAAAUGAGUUCCGUCUCCCUUUUUACUACCCAAAAACCGCUUCCGUGUUUAACACAGAGCUUACGGGGAAACGGCUUUAGCGAAAAUCACUGCCGUUAGUUAUCUUUAAUCCCCUCCUCUUCCGUUUUUGUCUUAUAUUAAAGAGCUAAUUCUCUUCUACAAACCCAGUAAAAGAUUUUUGGAAGGGGGAAUUAGUUUUAAAGUUAUUAGAUUUUAUAUACAGCCCAUAUUUCCUGA
RNAcentral lists this long non-coding RNA (484 nucleotides) under Daphnia magna. Its description in RNAcentral is "uncharacterized LOC123469663, transcript variant X2". Lineage: Eukaryota; Metazoa; Arthropoda; Branchiopoda; Diplostraca; Daphniidae. The record is from RNAcentral.